RNAcentral lists this ribosomal RNA (481 nucleotides) under uncultured bacterium. Its description in RNAcentral is "partial 16S ribosomal RNA". It matches the Rfam family "Bacterial small subunit ribosomal RNA", at positions 28 to 506 of the family's 1533-position model. The record is from RNAcentral.
GACGAACGCUGGCGGCGUGCCUAACACAUGCAAGUCGAACGGAACUGUUUUGAAAGUUUUCUUCGGACUGAAUUUGAUUUAGUUUAGUGGCGGACGGGUGAGUAACGCGUGAGUAACCUGCCUUCAAGAGGGGAAUAACAUUCUGAAAAGAAUGCUAAUACCGCAUGACAUAUCGGAACCACAUGGUUUUGAUAUCAAAGAUUUUAUCGCUUGAAGAUGGACUCGCGUCCGAUUAGUUAGUUGGUGAGGUAACGGCUCACCAAGACCGCGAUCGGUAGCCGGACUGAGAGGUGGAACGGCCACAGUGGGACUGAGACACGGCCCAGACUCCUACGGGAGGCAGCAGUGGGGGAUAUUGCGCAAUGGGGGCUACCCUGACGCAGCAACGCCGCGUGAAGGAUGAAGGUGUUCGGAUUGUAAACUUCUUUUAUUAAGGACGAAAAAGGACGGUACUGAAGGAAUAAGCUCCGGCUAACUACGU